This is a long non-coding RNA of Heterocephalus glaber (naked mole-rat), 1722 nucleotides long. RefSeq lists it as uncharacterized. Lineage: Eukaryota; Metazoa; Chordata; Mammalia; Rodentia; Bathyergidae. The record is from RefSeq and is a predicted model, not a curated record.
GGGAUUACAGGGGUGUGUCACCAUACCCAGCCUCAGGGAAUAUGAAGUCAAGUGAGAAAUAAAACAAAACGUGAGGAUUGUCAAGGUACCUGGACAAUGAUUACGUGGUAGUGUGCAGGGCAAGGUUGUCCUGAGUUCAGGGAUCUGGCUGGUUAUCACCUAAUUCACAGCCUGCUUCUGUCCUGAACUUGGAUUCAGAAGCAGUGCGUGUGCGCCCCCUGGUGUGUGAGAAGGGCGUGAGGCCGGCUCCAGUGAUUCUGGGUAGACAACUUGGUCAGGGUGACAAACUGAUCAAAAAUGAAUACUCUGUCCAGUGGUUUUUCAACCAUUGGUAAUUUUGGUGUGCCAUGGGCGAGCUACUGCAAGUUUUAUGCACCUCUAGGCAUUUUGGGGGCCUAUUUUUUAUAACUUUGAUGGUUCAUCACCCUACCCUCAUUUUAAAAAGUAUAUUUUUCAGCCAAUUAUGCCCGCUCAUUGCUGACUAAUGAAAACAGCCCUUCCCCUUGGCUUCACUGCCCCACACUACUCAUUGGCUACUCUUUCUCUAACUCCUUUGCUGUCUCCUCGUCAGCAGUUCUGGGACUGUUAGGCCUCCCCUUUUCUCACUCAGCCCCCUUUCCCUGGACUGUCUGAACUAUUAUCAGCCACAGGGAGAUGACUUCCAAAUCUUCACCUCCAGUCUAGGACUCUCAUCUGAGCUCCGGAUUUAAAUACCAAGAACUUUCUCUGUAUCACUCCCUGGAUGUCCCCCAGGAACCACCAGACAUGAAUGAUCAGGUGAAAGAAGAGCUCCCUGACCAAUCCUUACAACUUGUCCAGACUCUCUUCUGUGGGUUUGCCACAUGCUGGAAGAGGAGUUUAUGAUGUCUUCCACCCCAUGUACCUGCUAACCUGGGCCUCAAUAGGUCUGAUAUUCUGGCAGUUCUGUCCCUCUGUGCAGUGCUUCCCAGCCUGGUGACCCUAACACUUGCAAGGUGGUAUCCAGCUAAAUCUUAGAAAAGAUUAUUCUUCUCAAACUCCCAGAAUACAGCCUCAGUAGGACUGCCAAGCUUGCAGAUUUAUGGCAUAAAGAAAUGAAAACUGAUGAGGCUGAAGAUGUGAUGAAAUUUGGAAUACCGUUUCAGAGUGAGGAGGGAAAUCACGGACACCUCUCUGAGACAGAUGUGACAACUGCUGUAGGAUAAGCACCACUACUGUCUUCCUGAAGCAUGGAACAUACAAAGGCCCGAGUUGCAAAAGGGCCAUAGGAUUCCUGACCACUGACAACAAUGCUUUCUGAAUAGUAAAGCACAGGCCAUGUCACCAGGAGGUGGACAAUGGUAGUAAGAACAGUCUGCCUUUCUUGCAGAUGUUCUACCAACCAGUGGCCUUCGAACCCCACCAUUCCUCAUCUGGAGUGAGAACAGAUGGAUUCAAACAGCUGAUAGCUCGCACCAGAGUCCAAGGUGUGCAUCAUUCUGGUUGUUUAUAGUGAACUUUUCCAUUCCGUCAGCAUGAAAUCACCAAGUAGUGUUGCCCAACACUGGCAUCAGCUGUGACUGGAUUCUGUCAUGUCAGUGAACCCAGCCAACCCACUCCGUCAUGGCACCUAGGUGUGGGAAGGAAUGCAACGAGGAGCAAAGGGCAUCCAUAUAAGUGUCCUUUGGUAAUGGCUACACUGGAGAACUAGUUGGUACAGGUUAGUGAGGCAGGAGAGAAGAAAUAAAAAGUAGGCAAAAGGAA